RNAcentral lists this ribosomal RNA (292 nucleotides) under uncultured bacterium. Its description in RNAcentral is "partial 16S ribosomal RNA". It matches the Rfam family "Bacterial small subunit ribosomal RNA", at positions 505 to 796 of the family's 1533-position model. The record is from RNAcentral.
GUGCCAGCAGCCGCGGUAAGACAGAGGGUGCAAACGUUGUUCGGAAUUACUGGGCGUAAAGCGUGUGUAGGCGGUCUAUUAAGUCGGAUGUGAAAGCCCUGGGCUCAACCCAGGAAGUGCACUCGAAACUGGUAGACUUGAGUAUCGGAGAGGUUGGUGGAAUUCUCGGUGUAGAGGUGAAAUUCGUAGAUAUCGAGAGGAACACCGGUGGCGAAGGCGGCCAACUGGACGAAUACUGACGCUGAGACACGAAAGCGUGGGGAGCAAACAGGAUUAGAUACCCUAGUAGUCC